This 418-nucleotide ribosomal RNA is filed under the name uncultured bacterium. RNAcentral describes it as "bacterial SSU rRNA". It matches the Rfam family "Bacterial small subunit ribosomal RNA", at positions 335 to 750 of the family's 1533-position model. The record is from RNAcentral.
ACUCCUACGGGAGGCAGCAGUGAGGAAUAUUGGUCAAUGGAGGGAACUCUGAACCAGCCAUCCCGCGUGUAGGAAGACGGCCUUAUGGGUUGUAAACUACUUUUAUACAGGGAAGAAACGUACCCUCGUGAGGGUGCCUGACGGUACUGUAGGAAUAAGCACCGGCUAACUCCGUGCCAGCAGCCGCGGUAAUACGGAGGGUGCGAGCGUUAAUCGGAAUUACUGGGCGUAAAGCGCAUGCAGGUGGUUUGUUAAGUCAGAUGUGAAAGCCCGGGGCUCAACCUCGGAAUUGCAUUUGAACUGGCAAACUAGAGUACUGUAGAGGGGGUAGAAAUUUCAGGUGUAGCGGUGAAAUGCGUAGAGAUCUGAAGGAAUACCGGUGGCGAAGGCGGCCCCCUGGACAGAUACUGACACUGCA